CCCCCACUUCAGAUCCCCUGGAGCCCCAGCCCGGAGAAAAGGAGAGAGUGCGUCUUCAAGAAGAAAAGCAACGAGACCGAGUGCUUCAACUUCAUCCGCAUCCUGGUUCAGCUGAACAAGACCCACCUUUACACCUGUGGCACCUACGCCUUCAGCCCCACCUGCGCCUACAUCGACGUGGAGAAUUUCACGCUGGUGGCCGAUGCCAAAGGGCAGCCCCUCCUGCAGGAAGGCAAAGGGCUCUGCCCCUUCGACCCGCGGCACCAGAACACGGCGCUCAUUGUGGGUGAGCAGAGACGGGCACC
Pseudonaja textilis is the source of this 305-nucleotide non-coding RNA. The record is from RefSeq and is a predicted model, not a curated record. Lineage: Eukaryota; Metazoa; Chordata; Lepidosauria; Squamata; Elapidae.